CUCCUUGAUUAUACCAUCCUGAACAUAUCCAAUCCCAUCUGAGCACAGAAGCUAAGCAGAGUCAGGCCUGGUUAGUACUUGGAUGGGAGACAGCUUAGACAGCUUUCUUUCUGAGAGA
RNAcentral lists this ribosomal RNA (118 nucleotides) under Sorex araneus (European shrew). Lineage: Eukaryota; Metazoa; Chordata; Mammalia; Eulipotyphla; Soricidae. The record is from RNAcentral.